RNAcentral lists this transfer RNA (69 nucleotides) under Yunnanilus longibarbatus. RNAcentral describes it as "tRNA-Phe". It matches the Rfam family "tRNA". From Rfam's summary of the family: Transfer RNA (tRNA) molecules are approximately 80 nucleotides in length. The record is from RNAcentral. Lineage: Eukaryota; Metazoa; Chordata; Actinopteri; Cypriniformes; Nemacheilidae.
GCUAGCGUAGCUUAAAAUAAAGCAUGGCACUGAAGAUGCUAAGAUGGGCCCUGAAAAGCCUCGCAUGCA